This 165-nucleotide non-coding RNA is filed under the name Enterococcus saccharolyticus subsp. saccharolyticus ATCC 43076. Its description in RNAcentral is "Enterococcus sRNA B11". It matches the Rfam family "Enterococcus sRNA B11". From Rfam's summary of the family: Name 'Ref' stands for RNA in E. faecalis. Lineage: Bacteria; Bacillati; Bacillota; Bacilli; Lactobacillales; Enterococcaceae. The record is from Rfam by way of RNAcentral.
GGCAACUUGCCCUAAAAGGGGGUGUUGUCUUGUUUGAACAAUUUAUCAUGUUAGUUGUUGCACCACUUUUUGUGGGCUUAGUCAUUGAACUAGUGAUGAGAAAGAUGACAACUAAAAAGCAAGUUGCUUGCUACCCACACGCUCGGAAUCGCAACGAGUGCAUAA